This 261-nucleotide ribosomal RNA is filed under the name uncultured archaeon. RNAcentral describes it as "partial 16S ribosomal RNA". It matches the Rfam family "Archaeal small subunit ribosomal RNA", at positions 748 to 1009 of the family's 1478-position model. The record is from RNAcentral.
AGGGUGUAAACGCUGCGGGCUUGGUGUUGGGGGUCCUUAGUGGGCGCCCAGUGCCGGAGAGAAGUUGUUAAGCCUGCUGCUUGGGGAGUAUGUCCGCAAGGAUGAAACUUAAAGGAAUUGGCGGGGGAGCACCACAACGGGUGGAGCCUGCGGUUUAAUUGGACUCAACGCCGGGAAGCUCACCGGAUAAGACAGCGGAAUGAUUGCCGGGCUGAAGACCCUGCAUGACCAGCUGAGAGGAGGUGCAUGGCGUAGUCGUGU